GAUGAACGCUGACAGAAUGCUUAACACAUGCAAGUCAACUUGAACUUCGGUUUGGGUGGCGGACGGGUGAGUAACGCGUAAAGAACUUGCCUCACAGCUAGGGACAACAUUUGGAAACGAAUGCUAAUACCUGAUAUUAUGAUUUUAGGGCAUCCUAGAAUUAUGAAAGCUAUAUGCGCUGUGAGAGAGCUUUGCGUCCCAUUAGCUAGUUGGAGAGGUAACGGCUCGCCAAGGCGAUGAUGGGUAGCCGGCCUGAGAGGGUGAACGGCCACAAGGGGACUGAGACACGGCCCUUACUCCUACGGGAGGCAGCAGUGGGGAAUAUUGGACAAUGGACCAAGAGUCUGAUCCAGCAAUUCUGUGUGCACGAUGAAGUUUUUCGGAAUGUAAAGUGCUUUCAGUUGGGAAGAAAAAAAUGACGGUACCAACAGAAGAAGUGACGGCUAAAUACGUG
Molecule: ribosomal RNA, 454 nt
Filed under: uncultured bacterium
Lineage: Bacteria
Description: partial 16S ribosomal RNA
Rfam family: Bacterial small subunit ribosomal RNA
Source: RNAcentral